Molecule: transfer RNA, 83 nt
Filed under: Xenopus laevis (African clawed frog)
Lineage: Eukaryota; Metazoa; Chordata; Amphibia; Anura; Pipidae
Rfam family: tRNA
About the family: Transfer RNA (tRNA) molecules are approximately 80 nucleotides in length.
Source: Rfam by way of RNAcentral
ACUAGGGUGGCCAAGUGGUUAAGGCAUUGGACUUAUGUUACAAUGGAUGUAUGUCCACGUGGGUUCAAACACCACUCAUGGUG